GACGAACGCUGGCGGCGUGCUUAACACAUGCAAGUCGUACGGUAAGGCCCUUUCGGGGGUACACGAGUGGCGAACGGGUGAGUAACACGUGAGUAACCUGCCCACAACUUUGGGAUAACGCUAGGAAACUGGUGCUAAUACUGGAUAUGUGCUCCUGCUGCAUGGUGGGGGUUGGAAAGCUCCGGCGGUUGUGGAUGGACUCGCGGCCUAUCAGCUUGUUGGUGGGGUAGUGGCCUACCAAGGCGGCGACGGGUAGCCGCCCUGAGAGGGUGACCGGCCACAUUGGGACUGAGAGAAGGCCCAGACGCCUACGGGAGGCAGCAGCGGGGAAUGUUGCACAAUGGGCGCAAGCCUGAUGCAGAAACGCCGCGUGCGGGAUGACGGCCUUCGGGUUGUAAACCGCUUUCAGCAGGGACGAAGCUUUUUGUGACGGUACCUGCAGAAGAAGCACCGGCUAACUACGUG
RNAcentral lists this ribosomal RNA (465 nucleotides) under uncultured bacterium. RNAcentral's name for it is "partial 16S ribosomal RNA". It matches the Rfam family "Bacterial small subunit ribosomal RNA", at positions 28 to 507 of the family's 1533-position model. The record is from RNAcentral.